RNAcentral lists this ribosomal RNA (484 nucleotides) under uncultured bacterium. RNAcentral's name for it is "partial 16S ribosomal RNA". It matches the Rfam family "Bacterial small subunit ribosomal RNA", at positions 30 to 507 of the family's 1533-position model. The record is from RNAcentral.
AUUGAACGCUGGCGGCAGGCCUAACACAUGCAAGUCGAGCGGAUGAAGGGAGCUUGCUCCUGGAUUCAGCGGCGGACGGGUGAGUAAUGCCUAGGAAUCUGCCUGGUAGUGGGGGAUAACGUCCGGAAACGGGCGCUAAUACCGCAUACGUCCUGAGGGAGAAAGUGGGGGAUCUUCGGACCUCACGCUAUCAGAUGAGCCUAGGUCGGAUUAGCUAGUUGGUGGGGUAAAGGCCUACCAAGGCGACGAUCCGUAACUGGUCUGAGAGGAUGAUCAGUCACACUGGAACUGAGACACGGUCCAGACUCCUACGGGAGGCAGCAGUGGGGAACAUUGGACAAAGGGCGAAAGCCUGAUCCAGCCAUGCCGCGUGUGUAAAGAAGGUCUUCGGAUUGUAAAGCACUUUAAGUUGGGAGGAAGGGCAGUAAGUUAAUACCUUGCUGUUUUGACGUUACCAACAGAAUAAGCACCGGCUAACUUCGUG